This 253-nucleotide ribosomal RNA is filed under the name uncultured bacterium. Its description in RNAcentral is "partial 16S ribosomal RNA". It matches the Rfam family "Bacterial small subunit ribosomal RNA", at positions 524 to 776 of the family's 1533-position model. The record is from RNAcentral.
UACGUAGGGUGCAAGCGUUAAUCGGAAUUACUGGGCGUAAAGCGUGCGCAGGAGGUUUUGUAAGUCAGAUGUGAAAUCCCCGGGCUUAACCUGGGAACUGCAUUUGAAACUACAAGGCUAGAGUGUGGCAGAGGGGGGUGGAAUUCCACGUGUAGCAGUGAAAUGCGUAGAGAUGUGGAGGAACACCGAUGGCGAAGGCAGCCCCCUGGGUUAACACUGACGCUCAGGCACGAAAGCGUGGGGAGCAAACAGG